AUUGAACGCUGGCGGCAUGCCUUACACAUGCAAGUCGAACGGUAACGGGCCUUCGGGUGCCGACGAGUGGCGGACGGGUGAGUAAUACAUCGGAACGUGCCCGAUCGUGGGGGAUAACGAGGCGAAAGCUUUGCUAAUACCGCAUACGAUCUACGGAUGAAAGCAGGGGACCGCAAGGCCUUGCGCGGACGGAGCGGCCGCUGGCAGAUUAGGUAGUUGGUGGGAUAAAAGCUUACCAAGCCGACGAUCUGUAGCUGGUCUGAGAGGAUGAUCAGCCACACUGGGACUGAGACACGGCCCAGACUCCUACGGGAGGCAGCAGUGGGGAAUUUUGGACAAUGGGCGCAAGCCUGAUCCAGCCAUGCCGCGUGCAGGAUGAAGGCCUUCGGGUUGUAAACUGCUUUUGUACGGAACGAAAAGCCUUCUUUUAAUACAGGAGGGUCAUGACGGUACCGUAAGAAUAAGCACCGGCUAACUACGUG
This 482-nucleotide ribosomal RNA is filed under the name uncultured bacterium. Its description in RNAcentral is "partial 16S ribosomal RNA". It matches the Rfam family "Bacterial small subunit ribosomal RNA", at positions 30 to 507 of the family's 1533-position model. The record is from RNAcentral.